AGUGAACGCUGGCGGUAGGCCUAACACAUGCAAGUCGAACGGCAGCACAGUAAGAGCUUGCUCUUACGGGUGGCGAGUGGCGGACGGGUGAGGAAUACAUCGGAAUCUACUUUUUCGUGGGUGAUAACGUAGGGAAACUUACGCUAAUACCUCAUACGACCUACGGGUGAAAGCAGGGGAUCUUCGGACCUUGCGCGAUUGAAUGAGCCGAUGUCGGAUUAGCUAGUUGGCAGGGUAAAGGCCCACCAAGGCGACGAUCCGUAGCUGGUCUGAGAGGAUGAUCAGCCACACUGGAACUGAGACACGGUCCAGACUCCUACGGGAGGCAGCAGUGGGGAAUAUUGGACAAUGGGCGCAAGCCUGAUCCAGCCAUACCGCGUGGGUGAAGAAGGCCUUCGGGUUGUAAAGCCCUUUUGUUGGGAAAGAAAAGCAGCAGGUUAAUCCCCCGCUGUUCUGACGGUACCCAAAGAAUAAGCACCGGCUAACUUCGUG
RNAcentral lists this ribosomal RNA (492 nucleotides) under uncultured bacterium. RNAcentral's name for it is "partial 16S ribosomal RNA". It matches the Rfam family "Bacterial small subunit ribosomal RNA", at positions 29 to 507 of the family's 1533-position model. The record is from RNAcentral.